Molecule: non-coding RNA, 387 nt
Organism: Cinara cedri
Lineage: Eukaryota; Metazoa; Arthropoda; Insecta; Hemiptera; Aphididae
Source: the annotation of a GenBank genome assembly
UACAUUUGUUUGAUUUAAUUUCACAAAUUUACAUGAAUCAAUUUUAACAAUAUAAAUUUGAAAUGACCAUGUCUCCAAAAAGCAACGCUUUUGGAAGAGACUCAGAGUUCUAUACUUAACACAAUGUCGGAUACUAGGUACUGUUGUAGCAGUAAUUUUUUCGAUGGUAUCAAAUGAUAAAAGACAUUGGACUGUCACAUUACGACAGUUUACACUGUCAAUUUACAUAGAUUUUGGAUGUACGUAUAGCACUGCUUCAGAAGUUCAGAAGCGUUUUUCGUUAGCAAUGGUUUAGCAUUGUUUUGGGAUAUAAAUUAAAUAACUCUAUGUAUUCUACUUUCUGUACUUCCCAUCUACAACAGUAGUUGCGUUCGCCCUCAGUAUCAG